This 221-nucleotide long non-coding RNA is filed under the name Manihot esculenta (cassava). RNAcentral's name for it is "long non-coding RNA (MESC_LNC011978)". The record is from RNAcentral. Lineage: Eukaryota; Viridiplantae; Streptophyta; Magnoliopsida; Malpighiales; Euphorbiaceae.
GGUUGUCCGAUGAAAACACAAGUCAGGCUUUUUGGUAAACUCAAAUAUUGGAAUUCUCAUGUAUUCGAGACUAUCUUUCAUAAGAAAAGAAGUCUAUUAAACCGUUUAAAGGGAGUUCAUAUUCGUUUGGCCUCUUCUCUCAUCCUAAAUGGGUCAAGCUUGAUUUUAAUCUUAGGAACCAAUUGGAGCAAGUCUUAGCAUAAGAGGAGCUUCACUGGUUU